This 497-nucleotide ribosomal RNA is filed under the name uncultured bacterium. RNAcentral describes it as "partial 16S ribosomal RNA". It matches the Rfam family "Bacterial small subunit ribosomal RNA", at positions 28 to 507 of the family's 1533-position model. The record is from RNAcentral.
GAUGAACGCUGGCGGCGUGCCUAAUACAUGCAAGUCGAGCGAACGGACGAUAAGCUUGCUUCUCUGAUGUUAGCGGCGGACGGGUGAGUAACACGUGGAUAACCUACCUAUAAGACUGGGAUAACUUCGGGACACCGGAGCUAAUACCGGAUAAUAUUUUGAACCGCAUGGUUCAAAAGUGAAAGACGGUCUUGCUGUCACUUAUAGAUGGAUCCGCGCUGCAUUAGCUAGUUGGUAAGGUAACGGCUUACCAAGGCAACGAUGCAUAGCCGACCUGAGAGGGUGAUCGGCCACACUGGAACUGAGACACGGUCCAGACUCCUACGGGAGGCAGCAGUAGGGAAUCUUCCGCAAUGGGCGAAAGCCUGACGGAGCAACGCCGCGUGAGUGAUGAAGGUCUUCGGAUCGUAAAACUCUGUUAUUAGGGAAGAACAUAUGUGUAAGUAACUGUGCACAUCUUGACGGUACCUAAUCAGAAAGCCACGGCUAACUACGUG